RNAcentral lists this long non-coding RNA (1783 nucleotides) under Vulpes vulpes (red fox). RNAcentral's name for it is "lncRNA (ENSVVUG00000001525.1)". The record is from RNAcentral. Lineage: Eukaryota; Metazoa; Chordata; Mammalia; Carnivora; Canidae.
UGUUAGUAUAAUUUUUAACUUUGAAAAGGGAAAACUUUAAAAAAAUAUCUUUGAGGAAAAGUUAUCCAAUUAAAUAAUACAAAGCUUUAGAAAAUGAAACUCCUUAGCUGAAAGCUGCUGAUGCAUCCAUGUCUUUAGAGUUUCCCUUCUUGUUCUCAAGGAAGGCUAGAUAUUGCCCACAUUUUGUGCACGAUAUCUAGAUUCUCAAAAAUUGUCUGUCUCAUAAUCCCUGGGGAGAACUGCCUUGUUAGUAGUGUUUUAUAUUUGUAAGACAAGUUAGAGUAAUCCCAGUUGAAUAAUGGUAAAAUUACCGACUUUGACCUUGACUCUUCACACAUUGUCUCUUAAAAAGUUUAAAUCAGCCCUUGAAAACAAAUUGAAAACAAAACUGGAGAGUUUUCCUCUAGGCAUUUGAAAGACUGACAAUCAUUUUUUAUCCCUUCAAUCUAAGUGAAGUCUCAUGGAAAUGGUUAGAGCAGCAAAAUGUGUUCUAUAAUUUGCUAUUCAUAAAAAUAUAAAGUGGCACAUUAAGACUUUUUGUAGACUCCACCGCCAACUUAAAAAAUGGAUACUUCAAAAUUGCCCUGAAGUUAUAUGCCAAAUGUGUUUGAAAUUUAUUUUAUUUGUCAUAAAUAUUCAUUUGAAUUAAAGCCUUCAAAUGUCAUAUCAAGGAACAUAUUGUAAUUUGUUAAACCAGGACAAAACAAAUGGUUACUAUUUAUGAUGUUUUUAAAAGUUUUUUUUUUUUAAUUUAUUUGGUCUCAGGUUUAUGAGUUACAGAAGAGUAAGGAAUCUUGGGCAUUCGGAAAAAUGGAAAUCUCAGGAGUGGAUAAGUGUGUCAGAUCCUUUCUGCAGCUAGGAAAUCUAGUGACAGCCACAUGCUGCACAAAGUUACAGAUGUCUGCGCUUGUCUCACAUUUGACAAAUGCUCUCAACACACCUGACCUGGGAGCCAACAGGCAUAACCACCCUCCAAGAAAGGAGCACAAAAAAGAUUGCAUCAGAGCAUUGGUUAAACACACUUGCAGUCGCCUAUGCGGGCAUCGUGAGCAGAAGACAAAAUGACAGAUCAUCAGGGGAAGAAGAGUACAUUGAUGUUGACUUUGUCUUUUGGGCAGGCUAACAGAACAGAUGAGUGGAUUUAAUAUAAGACAAAGAACCUCAAAUGUUUGCCCCAUUCCAGGUUGAGCUUUGUCAUGGAUUUCACCAAGGUUCAGCACCAAGGGGUUACUUUGUUCUCAUUAACUUUUGUUCUUACUAAUGUUUUUGACCUUUGAUGUCCGAUCAGAAGAAAAGUAGAAAAUAAGUAAUUUUUACCUGUUCUAAGGGAAGAAAUUCAGAUUUCAUAAGAAAGCACAUUCUUUCCAAGUCCCCUGUGCACCCGUGCAGGGCCUUCAGACAAUUUUCAGACAUAUUUAACCUUCAGAAUUACUUCAGUGCAUUGGGCUCUUUGCUUUUGAGUCUAAGUCCCUUCCUACAGGGCCCGUCAGAGCACUCGAGUCUAAUGCAACUCUGCAUCAACCAGACUGUUUCUUAAUCUGUAUUUUAUUUUUUGAAAACUUAAAUUCAAGGGUGUCUAGAUGGCUCAGUUGGUGAAGUGUCUGCCUUCAGCUCAGGUCAUGAUCUCGGGGUCCAGGGAUGGAGCCCCGAGUCAUGCUUCCUGCUCAGCGGGGAGUCUGCUUCUCCCUCUGCCCCUCACCCUGCUUGCAUUCAUUCUCUCUCACUCACUCUCCCUCUCUGUCUCUCAAAUAAAUAAAACCCUUCAAAAAAAAAAAAAGAAAAG